GUGUUUUUUUUUUGUUGGUCGACAACCGCAUUGGGUUUUGCUCAGUUUCGUUCGCUCUUGGGGUCGGUGUUGUUGCUAGAUCUCUGCGCGCGGGGUCGAGCCUGUCGUGAGAAUAGCGCGAGAAAGGUUUGGUUUUGACUGAUUUCGAGAAAUGGGGUUCUCGAUUCUUGCAGGGAUUGAAGCUGCUUCGCCGCAUUUCCGUGGUUGCGUGUUGGGAAAUUUCGCGUUUUGACUUUCUCUCUCUCUCUUCUGUGUUGGGUACCUUUGCCAUUGCCGCUCUCUUGAUUCGAUGUGAUGGUGUGAUCUUUCGCAAUCAUUUGGAGGUGUUUUGGUCGAAAGUUUCUUUCUUGGGGAGUGUCCGCACCUGAUUUCGCUGUUGCAUUCGAUUCGAGCCAGUCUUUAGAGUUUGGUGCCCAUUUGAGUCUUUUUGUGUUUCCCCCGCAAAAAAGAGAACAAGAUGUCGUCGUCGAAUCCGAACGAGCCGUUGAUCCGAGAGUCCUCUUCUAGGAAGCUCCCUGAUUUCAAGCAAUCGGUGAAACUGAAGUAUGUGAAGCUCGGAUAUCAUUAUCUCAUAACCCAUGGAAUGUACCUCUUUUUGACCCCUCUUGUUGUUGUCAUUGCUGCACAACUCUCCACAUUCUCGAUCCGGGACCUCUAUGACCUUUGGGAUCAUCUGCGGUUCAAUCUCAUCUCGGUGAUCCUAUGUUCGACCCUUCUCGUGUUCCUGUCUACCCUUUACUUCCUCACGCGCCCUCAACCUGUUUAUCUGGUCGAUUUCUCUUGUUAUAAGCCGGACAAUGAAAGGAAAUGCACUAGGCAGAUUUUCAUGGAGAGGUCGCAAUCGGCGGGUACAUUCACAGAAGAGAAUCUUGAGUUUCAGAGGAAGAUUCUUGAGAGGUCGGGACUGGGGGAGUCAACUUAUCUUCCGGAGGCCGUUCUAAGUGUACCUCCGAACCCCUGUAUGGCAGAAGCAAGAAAGGAGGCCGAAAUGGUAAUGUUUGGCGCUCUCGAUCAACUGUUUGAGAAGACAUCUUUGAAACCAAAAGACAUUGGGAUCCUCAUUGUCAAUUGUAGCUUGUUCAACCCAACCCCAUCUCUAUCUGCAAUGGUCAUCAAUCGUUACAAGUUGAGAGGGAAUAUCAUCAGCUAUAACCUCGGUGGAAUGGGAUGCAGCGCUGGUUUGAUUUCGAUUGAUCUGGCCAAGGACCUCCUCCAAGUGCAUCCAAAUUCUUAUGCCUUGGUCAUUAGCAUGGAGAACAUAACUCUAAACUGGUACUUUGGAAAUGAGAGGUCGAUGCUGGUGUCGAACUGCUUAUUCAGGAUGGGAGGAGCUGCAAUUUUGCUAUCCAACAAAAGAUCCGACUGCUGGCGCUCCAAGUACAAAUUGGUGCACACUGUUCGGACCCACAAAGGUGCAGACGAUAAGUGCUUCUCUUGUGUAACUCAAAAGGAGGAUCCUACAGGAAGGAUCGGAGUUUCUCUAUCCAGGGAUUUGAUGGCAGUGGCUGGAGACGCCCUGAAGACAAACAUUACAACAUUGGGUCCUCUUGUGUUGCCUAUGUCCGAACAGUUGCUGUUCUUUGCGACUCUGGUCGGAAAGAAGCUUUUCAAAAUGAAAUUGAAGCCAUACAUCCCAGAUUUCAAGUUGGCCUUCGAGCAUUUCUGUAUUCAUGCUGGAGGAAGAGGAGUGCUCGAUGAACUAGAGAAGAAUCUGCAGCUUUCAGAUUGGCACAUGGAACCUUCGAGGAUGACACUUAAUCGGUUCGGCAACACAUCGAGCAGCUCUCUUUGGUAUGAACUCGCUUACAGUGAAGCCAAAGGAAGGAUCAGGAAAGGGGACAGGACAUGGCAGAUAGCUUUUGGUUCGGGAUUUAAGUGCAACAGCGCUGUUUGGAAGGCUCUUCGCACCGUGAAUCCUGCGAAAGAGAAGAAUCCAUGGAUGGACGAGAUCCAUCAGUUUCCAGUGGAGGUCCCGAAGGUCUCGGCCAUCUAGAGUUCAAAGUGCGAUCUCUGCGCCUCUAUGUUCAAUGUGAUCGUAGAUGCUCACGGGAAAUUCUCCUUCUCACAUGGAUCUCAUCUGUUUUGGAUGCACGGGAAUGUGAAAGGUGGGAGCAUAUUCUCGGGACACCAUUCCAGAUGAAGAAUUCGAUCCCUAGGCCAUUUAUGACCAGGGGAGAGAAGUUAGUUGUCGAGUGGAUUUUCAUGUUCUGUUCUUUUUCAUGGAGACAGAGAAUAUAGGCAACUCAGCAUUUGAUAUCGAGGGUCGAUUCAUUAUGCACGGCUUCACUGUCGAGGAUCCCGAAUCUUCGACAUCGAAUGUAAAGUCUCGCUCCUUUACGAUAGGUUUCUAAGCGUGAACGCGCCUAUUAUGGGUCGAAUCAAGCGGGAUCGAUGCCCACUUCAUCCGCCGCUAGAACAUUCGCUUGAUGGCGCCACCGAAGCACCCAUUGCCCACCGGGCAAGCCCGUAAUCGCAGCCCCACAAGGUGCAAGUAGGGAAGUCCGAGAGUGGCGAUACACGUAGCCCAGACUCGUCCUUUGCGGAGUAACCAAGAUUUACUUAGAUCGAGGAUAAACUGGGGACUCGAACUGGUGACUUUCGGCUUGCAAACCAAGUCUUUGAUCACUCGAUCAAUCACCUGGCUGGUUUUCUGUUGGAUUGUGCACAGGGCUUUCAUCUGUACGCAGUGGUCAAUCGUUCUUAUUAACUUCGUCACCAAACCACGUCCAUCUAGCGAAGAAGUUUGUGACGUUGCGUCCGAAGUGUCCAUGCAUGAGCUAAUGGAGAACGGGUCACGAGCUCAUCGACCACCAGAGCAAGAUUUUGAUGGAGACAUCGUAAUUGUAAAAGGAUAUCGGAUUUCUUUAAACUUAGAAUACUCUACUUAUCAACA
This is an RNA transcript of Syzygium oleosum, 2893 nucleotides long. It is a transcript of the gene named 3-ketoacyl-CoA synthase 11-like, with no coding region annotated. Lineage: Eukaryota; Viridiplantae; Streptophyta; Magnoliopsida; Myrtales; Myrtaceae. The transcript is spliced from 3 exons. The record is from RefSeq and is a predicted model, not a curated record.